GGGGCUGUAGCUCAGUGGUAGAGUGCUUGCCUUUCAUGUAUGAGACCCUGGGUUCUAUCCCAAGCACCA
This 69-nucleotide transfer RNA is filed under the name Ictidomys tridecemlineatus (thirteen-lined ground squirrel). Its description in RNAcentral is "Spermophilus tridecemlineatus (thirteen-lined ground squirrel) tRNA". It matches the Rfam family "tRNA". From Rfam's summary of the family: Transfer RNA (tRNA) molecules are approximately 80 nucleotides in length. Their secondary structure includes four short double-helical elements and three loops (D, anti-codon, and T loops). Further hydrogen bonds mediate the characteristic L-shaped molecular structure. tRNAs have two regions of fundamental functional importance: the anti-codon, which is responsible for specific mRNA codon recognition, and the 3' end, to which the tRNAs corresponding amino acid is attached (by aminoacyl-tRNA synthetases). tRNAs cope with the degeneracy of the genetic code in two manners: having more than one tRNA (with a specific anti-codon) for a particular amino acid; and 'wobble' base-pairing, i.e. permitting non-standard base-pairing at the 3rd anti-codon position. Lineage: Eukaryota; Metazoa; Chordata; Mammalia; Rodentia; Sciuridae. The record is from Rfam by way of RNAcentral.